This is a long non-coding RNA of Pogoniulus pusillus (Red-fronted tinkerbird), 1963 nucleotides long. RefSeq lists it as uncharacterized. The transcript is spliced from 2 exons. The record is from RefSeq and is a predicted model, not a curated record. NCBI's taxonomy places the organism in Eukaryota, Metazoa, Chordata, Aves, Piciformes, Lybiidae.
CAUCAGUACCUGCUGUCACCUCAGCAGCUUUGGUGCAGGACUGAUGGAGCAGCUAUUUUUCCCCAGUAUAAGACUCUCCUUUCAGAUCCUACAGCAACAGUAACCAUAUGGAGGUGGAAGAUUCCUUUCUCUGGUGAAACGUAAUAAUUUUUCUUUCCUUCUGAGAAUCCCAGAAUAAAUCAUCGCUCUCUCAUUUCGCUGGAUGUUAGGGGUUGGAAGGGACCUAAGGAGAUCAUUGAGCCCAACCCCUCUGCCAGAGCAGGACGCAGGAGUAAAUGCUCUGAUUCAUUUGCAACGUGGUUUCUAUUUUUUUCAACUAUAUUGAGUCAUUGCAAAUGAAGGAAACCCAAAAGUGAUUCUGCCACGGUGAAUUUGAUGUAUGUCAGUUGUGUGUUUACAAAGUACCUCUAACUUCUGUGCUUCCUAGCAUUAGAGGUUCUGAUACAAGGAGCUGGUGCUGGGAAGUAAGAGAUGGGAGCAGCGCUUGCAGCUCCACCACAUGCCAGUACCUGCUUGGAACUGAAUGCUACUCAAGGCAUACUUGGUCCCUACACCCUCUCCGCCACCUGUGCUGCACUAAUGUGGAAUGAGAUAGAGAAAGGAUCCCAGCUGCCAGCUAGUCCUGAAAGCUGUGAUACCCCCAAAACAAGCCUGGGAAAUGCGUGCCUUGUAAAACCUCCAGAACAAAAAUUUCAUACAGCCACCACCACUGCCACCCUGACAGGCUGCUACCUCUUAAGUGGAAUUUUUUUAAGCUUGUGGAAUUAUUCUUGGUUUAAGGAAACUGUCACUUCAUUAGAACUUGUAAAACAUUUCAUUAGAACUUGUAAAACUUUUUCCUUUUAGGAAAAAACACAGCCUUAGUUGCUGCCAUCAAAACCUCUACUAUUGUAAGACUUAAUGUAGUCAUUUAUUUGUACACCAUUUCAGUUCAUCAAUCUCACUAAUAGAUUCAUUUGAAUGAAAAAAGGCUAUGACCUGUAGCUGAUGAAGGCACAAGAUCCAAUUCCCUGUUGUUUGACACAAAUGGUAGUCAAUUAAAAACAUACAGAAAAGGGAUAAACCUCUCUCAGAGCAGAUUAAUUUUGAGGGAGCAAGUGACCCCCUGGGAUGAGAAUCAGCAGGCACAGAUCUCCUACAUUAACAGAUUUCAUGUCCACAGGCAAAUUCUACCUGUCUGUUCAUGAUGUUUCAUUAAAUGCACUUUCACCAGUUUUGUGAUUAUUUUCUACAGCUAUUCUAAAAUAUCAUCAUUUAUUUAUAAUAGGAGCCAGAAUGGAACUAGUAAACAGUUUCCACAUCUUUGUUUCUCACCAUAAUUUGUUUUCACUUGUUUUAAUAAUGUCAGUAAUGUUAUUUUUUUCUAAGUAAUACCUACAUCAUACUUCAGAAUGCAGAUCUACUUACGCUGCCUUUGUUUGAUUUAAAUUAGGUCUGGGCUUUUUAUUUCUUCAUCUUUCCUGUUUCUUUGUGUGAAUUGGCUUCAUCUUGGAGAAUAUGCAGUUUCACAAUUACCCACUUUUAUCACAUUACCAACUGUUGGGAAUAGUAAGAUUAAAUGUAGUGAUUCUAUAGAAUUGUCUGAUUAUGGUACAGCUAUUGGAAUUUGAAACACUGGAACACAAGCCAUGGAUAGGUGAGAGUGCACAAGCUCGGUAAGUGCUGAGUUGAGAUAAAAUGGAAGGUUGGAAUGACCUUAGAGAAUGGUGGAAUGAAUACAAACAAAUAUAAAGCUGGAGUCUGUGGUUUUCCCCCAUCUCUGCUGACUUAGAUUGCUUAGACACAAUGUACAUGUUGCUGAGAGAAUAUGAUGAAUGUCUAUGCUAAUUAGUAUGUAGUUUCUAAUGCAAAUAUAUGUAAUCAAUGAGUCUAACAUGAUUUGUAACCUUCUUAUGUAGCCUUCUGAUGGAAAGUAUAUCAACCCAUGCUUGGGGUACAAUAAACUGGAACUUGCUUAUGUUAA